Molecule: long non-coding RNA, 1885 nt
Organism: Ochlerotatus camptorhynchus
Lineage: Eukaryota; Metazoa; Arthropoda; Insecta; Diptera; Culicidae
Exons: 3
Source: RefSeq, a predicted model, not a curated record
AGAGAAAUGCGUUAAUCGCAGUAACCUUUCGUUGAUGAUAGUUACAGAUUCAAAAAAUCUCGCUCAUUAAAUAAUUGCUUUCCGCAACUGUACCAACAGACGCAACAGUCUUCUAGCAAACAACAAACUCGCAUUCAAUCAAACGCGUUGUUUGUAAUGCAAAUAAAGGUUACUCCGUACCGUCGUUGGUAAUUGCCUUCCGGCUGAACACUUGUUGCAAGUCAAUUGAAUCGUUUACAUUGUUUUUGCCGGCAAUCAGCAAACCGUUCCGUAACCCAAUAACGUUUCCCAAGUCCCGAAAAAAGAAAGAAAAGAAGCAAAGCAAGUUCAAUUAAAUGCAAAUUGACAAAUUCUCGCGGUCAUUGUGUCUAUCCGUAACCGAACGCCAGCGUGACGAUCGCAGCUACGGUUUCGCUGAGCGUGUCCGCGAUUCUCGAUUCAAUUAAACGCGCCCGUAAAUUGAUCGCCAAUGGAGUAAGUGAUCGCAAAAUUGAUAAGUUUAUUUCAGAAUUACAGUGGAGGCACCAUAUUCGAAGCCAUAUUGCCUUCGUGAUAUGGUUUACGAAAGUAGUAUAUAGAUUCGCAUAGAGUAGUAGGAAUGGCAACGGAAACCGGUUCGAUGUCACGUAUGUCUUUGGGAGCGGGGAUCCUUAUAGUGGUCGGCUUGAAUGAGAUCAUUCAAACAAUCGUAAUCAGUCAGCUGAAGCCCCGUUGUCGCAAGUCAUCCGUCCGUCUUUCCGCAGACAAUCAUUCUCGUGUUUCGUUCUCAGGAGCCGGACGGAUCGAUUCUCUCUGGAAUUAGGCCACAACGAUGGCAAAUUAGUCUCAUACGUUAUUUUAACAUCACUUCGUAUCAAUCAUUCAACCGCCGCUGUAGUUGUCUGCGUUCGAUUACUGAUAAGAACUAACCGAAAGCAAUGCUUCCACAUUUGAUGCUUCUGCCGCCGUUUGCCGGCGUUCAGUGCCUGCGUAUAAAGAAGCUGUAUGAAUUAUUGUAAUAAUUGUUACAUUUGCUUGUUAUGCUAUUGCGAUGGAGUAACAACGUUUUCGUAAUCGAAGAAGGUUUUUCGAAUGGCAAUAUUUGAAGUGAUGAAAGUCGUUGUAAAAUUUGAUUUUUGUAGGGUCUCGUCGCGUCUUUUUGUGUAGCCACAAGGGACGCUGCAAUUUUUUUUUUGUUCUUGAAAAAUGUUCAACCUUCAUGUCCGACCAAGAAACGAUUUAGAGUGCGAGUUUCAAAAUUAGUGAGCUGUGCUUUGUAAUACCAGAGCUCAGCCGGAAUCGUAUUCUGGAACUGAAAGUAUUUACGGCCUUUUCCACUGACUGCUGCAUAUUCAAGGUACCACUGUUGAUCAUCGUUAUCAUCCCAUCGAUGGAAAUAGUUUUCAACGUCAUUUUUGUUGUUCCAAAACUGGUUUUACUAACUGGUUCGCAAUAUCGUUUCCAUAAUUUUCAGCAUGUCCGGGAAUCCACUGCAGCCUUUGUAAGUAAUGUCUCGACGGUCUCAUCCCGAAAACGAUUCUCAUUCCAAACCUGAUUUCCAAUCAGUCAUGAUAACUGUAUUUGAAAGUCCAGAGCGUUGAAGAGUAACUGUUAAGUGAAAAAUCUUGAAUACCUGUAUUUUAGAUUCAGGCUGUCGUACAGGUCGAUGUCCUAUCCCUCAAUCGCAAUUUUGACAGUUCCCUAACUUCACGGCGAAUGAGAACGACUCAAAUUUGAGUUUAGUUCACUCAUAAUCGCCAAAAGUGCAGGAACUCAGCGAUGAGUAAAGGAACUCCGGAACGGAAAGCUAUAUCAAGCUUCGGAAAGUCCAAGGGGAAAACGAGUUCAUCGGUACCAAGAUGCCAUUGUAGACUGAGGACACGAACAUCCGCACUCGGUUCAGCUC